AUGGAGGUUAGAGAAUAGGGAAAUAACAACCAUGACCCGAGUAAAUCUUCUUCUUCUCUUACCUCCAUCUCCGUUGUUCUCUCGCUUCAUCGGAUUAAGAGCACCACUUCGAGUCCAGUGAUGCCGAAGAUUCCAAGACGUAUCCCCAUCAGGCCGGUAACAUCCGUAAAGGUGGUCACAUCAUCAUCAAGGGUCGUCCCUGCAAGAAAGAGGCUCUUGAAAAGGAUUUUGAUGGAGCAUAGAAAGGAACUGGACGAGAAGAUGAAGUUAGCUUCAUCUAGUUUGAUAAAUUCCAUUUCUGUUGCAAGUGAUUUACUUAUUUAAUAUGUUGUUGUUGUCUUUGUAAAAUAUUUUACUACUAAUGAUAAUUGUUUUAUCUUUGUAAAUUUUGUUUUGAUC
Long non-coding RNA from Eutrema salsugineum, 399 nucleotides. RefSeq lists it as uncharacterized. The transcript has 2 exons. NCBI's taxonomy places the organism in Eukaryota, Viridiplantae, Streptophyta, Magnoliopsida, Brassicales, Brassicaceae. The record is from RefSeq and is a predicted model, not a curated record.